This 3542-nucleotide ribosomal RNA is filed under the name Marinovum sp. 1_MG-2023. RNAcentral describes it as "23S ribosomal RNA". It matches the Rfam family "Bacterial large subunit ribosomal RNA". Lineage: Bacteria; Pseudomonadati; Pseudomonadota; Alphaproteobacteria; Rhodobacterales; Roseobacteraceae. The record is from RNAcentral. RNAcentral also lists the same sequence under 1 other name.
AAUCAAGCGCGAGAAGGGCGUUUGGUGGAUGCCUUGGCAGUAAGAGGCGAUGAAAGACGUGAUACUCUGCGAUAAGCCAUGGGGAGCCGAGAAUAUGCUUUGAUCCAUGGAUUUCUGAAUGGGGGAACCCACCUGAAUGUUCAUUAUAAUAACUUCGGUUGUUUAUAAUGUUCAUAACCAGGUACUUAAAGACUGAAUACAUAGGUUUUUAAGAGCAAACCCGGGGAACUGAAACAUCUAAGUACCCGGAGGAAAGGAAAUCAAUUGAUACUCCGCUAGUAGUGGCGAGCGAACGCGGAUCAGCCAAGCCUUGAGAGUGAAAAGAACGACCUGGAAAGGUCGGCCAUAGUGGGUGACAGCCCCGUAUUUGAAGCUCGAUGGGAUGUAUUAAGUAGGGCGGAACACGUGAAAUUCUGUCUGAAGAUCGGAGGACCACCUUCGAAGGCUAAGUACUCCUUACUGACCGAUAGUGAACCAGUACCGUGAGGGAAAGGUGAAAAGCACCCCGACGAGGGGAGUGAAACAGUACCUGAAACCGAACGCCUACAAUCAGUCGGAGCUUGACUGGACUCUAAUGAUAAUCUGAUGCAUGCCGCUUCCUGGAAACAGGGAGUUGGAUAUGGCAGACGGAACUUUUGCCAUUCUCAUGUUGGUCGCAGGACUGACGGAUAUGGGAAUGAAUUAUUGUGGCACAUCGCAGGGCUGUCUUGGCCGGAGCGACGUGACACCAAGGAUCGCCUUCUCGGGCGGUCAGGUUCUUGAACGCCGCGCAGAAACGGGAAGUGAAGUCUAUCUUCGCUAUGAUCUUGGGCGCCGUACCGGCCCCUUUGGUCAUGCGGUGGGGCUGAGUGUCGGGUCUCGGGGUGAAACCUGGGUCGGCAUUGGUCAGACCUACACGAUGGACUUUGGUUCCAGCCCGUUUUUUGCGGAAUUGCAUGCGAUGACCGGUGUGUAUGACGCCGGUGACGGCCUUGAUCUGGGCGGCGCAAUCGCGUUCCGUUCGGGUGCCGAGGUCGGUUGGGAAAACAAACGCGGUUGGCGGUUUGGUCUCAGCUUCGAUCAUCGAUCGAAUGCGGGGAUUUAUGACCACAAUCCGGGUGUUGAGACCGUGCAGCUGCGCGUGUCGGUACCAACCAGGUAACAUCGCAUCAAGAAAUGCAUCAAGCGUGAGCCGCUCUCAGGAUCUGCCCAGUGGCGAUCUGAAAGAUCGGUGUACCGGCCAAGGGUCGGCGCGAAGCGGUUGUCGCCUGCGGCGGCAACUCCAGAUUACUAUUAGUGUCCAGUCUUGUGACGGCGUACCUUUUGUAUAAUGGGUCAUCGACUUGGUCUAUCUAGCAAGCUUAAGCCGUUAGGUGUAGGCGCAGCGAAAGCGAGUCUUAAUAGGGCGCAUGAGUUAGAUGGAUCAGACCCGAAACCGAGUGAUCUAGGCAUGACCAGGAUGAAGGUAAGGUAACACUUACUGGAGGUCCGAACCCACACCUGUUGAAAAAGGUCGGGAUGAGUUGUGCCUAGGGGUGAAAGGCCAAUCAAACUCGGAGAUAGCUGGUUCUCUGCGAAAUCUAUUUAGGUAGAGCGUCAUCCGAAUACCCCGGGGGGUAGAGCACUGGAUGGGUAAUGGGGCCCCACAGGCUUACUGAUCCUAACCAAACUCCGAAUACCCGGGAGUACUAGAUGGCAGACACACUGCGGAUGCUAACGUCCGUAGUGGAGAGGGAAACAACCCUGACCUACAGCUAAGGCCCCUAAUUCAUGGCUAAGUGGGAAAGCAGGUGGGACGACCAAAACAACCAGGAGGUUGGCUUAGAAGCAGCCAUCCUUUAAAGAUAGCGUAACAGCUCACUGGUCUAAAUAAGUUGUCCUGCGGCGAAGAUGUAACGGGGCUCAAGCCAUGAGCCGAAGCUUAGGAUGCCGUAAGGCAUGGUAGCAGAGCGUAGUGUGACAUAGUUCCACGCGUCCUUGAUCCCUUCGGGGAUAUUGGACGCAGGGAGCUUUCUGUGAAGCCGGCGCGUGAGCGAUCCGGUGGAGAGAUCACUAGCGAGAAUGAUGACAUGAGUAGCGACAAAGAGUGUGAGAGACACUCUCGCCGAAAGUCCAAGGGUUCCUGCUUAAAGCUAAUCUGAGCAGGGUAAGCCGGCCCCUAAGGCGAGGCAGAAAUGCGUAGCCGAUGGGAACCACGUUAAUAUUCGUGGGCCAGGAGGAUGUGACGGAUCUCAGAGGUAGUUCAUCCUUAUUGGAUUGAAUGGGCUGCUGAGAGGUCCCUGGAAAUAGCCCUCCAUCAGACCGUACCCUAAACCGACACAGGUGGACUGGUAGAGAAUACCAAGGCGCUUGAGAGAACGAUGUUGAAGGAACUCGGCAAAAUACCUCCGUAAGUUCGCGAGAAGGAGGCCCGGUUCCUAGGCAACUAGGGGCUGGGGGCACAAACCAGGGGGUGGCGACUGUUUACUAAAAACACAGGGCUCUGCGAAGUCGCAAGACGACGUAUAGGGUCUGACGCCUGCCCGGUGCCUGAAGGUUAAAAGGAGAGGUGAGAGCCUUGAAUUGAAGCCCAGGUAAACGGCGGCCGUAACUAUAACGGUCCUAAGGUAGCGAAAUUCCUUGUCGGGUAAGUUCCGACCUGCACGAAUGGCGUAACGACUUCCCCGCUGUCUCCAACAUCGACUCAGCGAAAUUGAAUUGCCUGUCAAGAUGCAGGCUUCCCGCGGUUAGACGGAAAGACCCCGUGCACCUUUACUACAGCUUCGCACUGGCAUCAGGACUGCAAUGUGCAGGAUAGGUGGUGGGCUUUGAAGCAGGAACGCCAGUUUCUGUGGAGCCUCCCUUGAGAUACCACCCUUUGCAUUCUUGAUGUCUAACCGCGGUCCAUUAUCUGGAUCCGGGACCCUGCGUGGCGGGUAGUUUGACUGGGGCGGUCGCCUCCUAAAGAGUAACGGAGGCGCGCGAUGGUUGGCUCAGACCGGUCGGAAAUCGGUCGUUGAGUGCAAUGGCAGAAGCCAGCCUGACUGCAAGUCUGACAAGACGAGCAGAGACGAAAGUCGGUCAUAGUGAUCCGGUGGUCCCGAGUGGAAGGGCCAUCGCUCAACGGAUAAAAGGUACGCCGGGGAUAACAGGCUGAUACUGCCCAAGAGUCCAUAUCGACGGCAGUGUUUGGCACCUCGAUGUCGGCUCAUCUCAUCCUGGGGCUGGAGCAGGUCCCAAGGGUACGGCUGUUCGCCGUUUAAAGAGGUACGUGAGCUGGGUUUAGAACGUCGUGAGACAGUUCGGUCCCUAUCUGCCGUGGGUGUAGGAUACUUGAGAGGAGUUGCCCCUAGUACGAGAGGACCGGGGUGAACGAUCCACUGGUGUACCAGUUGUUCCGCCAGGAGCAGUGCUGGGUAGCUAUGAUCGGACAGGAUAACCGCUGAAGGCAUCUAAGCGGGAAGCCCCCCUCAAAACAAGGUAUCCCUGAGGACCGUGGUAGACCACCACGUCGAUAGGCCAGAGAUGUAAGCGCGGUAACGCGUUCAGUUGACUGGUACUAAUGGUCCGAUAGGCUUGAUUUG